CCGGCGACCGGCCGGCACGGGUGAGUAACACGUAUGGAACCUGCCCGCAGGCAGGGGGAGUAAGCGGAAGAAAUUCCGUCUAAUACCGCGUAACAACGUUGGGAGGCAUCUCCCGAUGUUUAAAGAUUUAUCGGCUGCGGAUGGCCAUGCGGCGCAUUAGCUAGUCGGCGGGGUAACGGCCCACCGAGGCGACGAUGCGUAGGGGUUCGUGAGAGGAAGGUCCCCCACCACUGGUACUGAGACACGGACCAGACUCCUACGGGAGGCAGCAG
RNAcentral lists this ribosomal RNA (272 nucleotides) under uncultured bacterium. RNAcentral's name for it is "partial 16S ribosomal RNA". It matches the Rfam family "Bacterial small subunit ribosomal RNA", at positions 84 to 354 of the family's 1533-position model. The record is from RNAcentral.